RNAcentral lists this ribosomal RNA (497 nucleotides) under uncultured bacterium. Its description in RNAcentral is "partial 16S ribosomal RNA". It matches the Rfam family "Bacterial small subunit ribosomal RNA", at positions 28 to 507 of the family's 1533-position model. The record is from RNAcentral.
GAUGAACGCUGGCGGCGUGCCUAAUACAUGCAAGUCGAGCGAACAGACGAGGAGCUUGCUCCUCUGACGUUAGCGGCGGACGGGUGAGUAACACGUGGAUAACCUACCUAUAAGACUGGGAUAACUUCGGGAAACCGGAGCUAAUACCGGAUAACAUGUUGAACCGCAUGGUUCAAUAGUGAAAGACGGUCUUGCUGUCACUUAUAGAUGGAUCCGCGCCGCAUUAGCUAGUUGGUAAGGUAACGGCUUACCAAGGCAACGAUGCGUAGCCGACCUGAGAGGGUGAUCGGCCACACUGGAACUGAGACACGGUCCAGACUCCUACGGGAGGCAGCAGUAGGGAAUCUUCCGCAAUGGGCGAAAGCCUGACGGAGCAACGCCGCGUGAGUGAUGAAGGUCUUCGGAUCGUAAAACUCUGUUAUUAGGGAAGAACAAAUGUGUAAGUAACUAUGCACGUCUUGACGGCACCUAAUCAGAAAGCCACGGCUAACUACGUG